AACCAUAGAAACCUGCGGAGUACCUGCGGAAGGAUCAUUACAAGUGACCCCGGUUUACCACCGGGAUGUUCAUAACCCUUUGUUGUCCGACUCUGUUGCCUCCGGGGCGACCCUGCCUUCGGGCGGGGGCUCCGGGUGGACACUUCAAACUCUUGCGUAACUUUGCAGUCUGAGUAAACUUAAUUAAUAAAUUAAAACUUUUAACAAUGGAUCU
Molecule: unclassified non-coding RNA, 214 nt
Filed under: soil metagenome
Description: partial contains 5.8S ribosomal RNA, internal transcribed spacer 2, and large subunit ribosomal RNA
Source: RNAcentral